Centruroides sculpturatus (bark scorpion) is the source of this 309-nucleotide long non-coding RNA. RefSeq lists it as uncharacterized. The transcript is spliced from 3 exons. NCBI's taxonomy places the organism in Eukaryota, Metazoa, Arthropoda, Arachnida, Scorpiones, Buthidae. The record is from RefSeq and is a predicted model, not a curated record.
UUCAGGCAGUUGCUUGGCUAGAGUCUUGUAGAGACAAUCACCAGCCAUACAUGGUCGAAUGUCGAUUUACUUGAUGCCAAUGAUGUGCAUGGAUAUGUAAUGUGCACAUAAGUUUUUAAGGAUAAUGAAUUAUCUCCGGAUUAAUUUUGUAAUUUUUAGUGUUUUGUUUCUAGCCACAAGUCUAGCCAAUACUCAGGAUAAUGAUCUUCUUAGAUGUCCAGAAGAUUGGUCCAGGAAUGGAAUUCGGUGUUAUAGAUAUUUUAAUCUUCGUCAUUCGUGGAAGAGAGCCGCUGAAAUCUGCCGCAGGUA